Molecule: small nuclear RNA, 99 nt
Filed under: Choloepus hoffmanni (Hoffmann's two-fingered sloth)
Lineage: Eukaryota; Metazoa; Chordata; Mammalia; Pilosa; Megalonychidae
Source: RNAcentral
GCUUCAAAAGCACAUAUUAAAAUAGGAAUGAUACAGAAAAGAUUAGCAUGGCCCCUGCACAAAGAUAGCAUGCAAAUUCACGGAGCAUUCCAUAUUUUU